GUUCCAUACUACAAAGACGCAGAGGACACCGGACCAUGAGACCACGGUACUGAGUCCUGCCGCUCCCUGACCAGAGAUCUUCCUUGAAGAAUAACUAAAGGGAGUUCUUCGGGAAGAUGCACACAUGAAAAUGCAGAAGGGAAUGAAGAGUGAUGAAAAGGGUAAAUGUGUGCGCCAGAAACCAGUUAAAGAAGAGUCUUUGAUGAGUGAGUUGUGGGAUGGUGCAUUUCUGUUAGAGAAGAGAUUGUGAAGAAGAGAAAGAAGAAGGAGAAGGAGGUGAAGGGGAAAGAGGAAGAAGGAAAUACAGGAGGAGGAAGAAGAAAUAAUAAAGAAAAGAACUCUUUUUCUUAGAGGGAAUCUGGAACGCAUCAAGACUACCCGGACUACACUGGGCAGUUUCUGGACAAAGUAGGCCUCCAUGCAUGUGGGAAAUAGCACAGAAGAGGGAGAUUGUGGAAGUACACCCUGCAGAUUCCAGGGAGCAAAUUCCCUAGGCUUCCCCUCUUCCCUCUCAUGCUACCCAGGCCACCACAGGCAACACAGAGGGAUUGGCCAGAUGGAGAUCUACUACUAGCAUGAAGGAACUGUGCUUGGCCUAGCACUUUUCAUGCAUCUCUCUGGGACCCUGUGGCUCCUAAGAGACUGUGUACUUGGCAGAAGCACAGAUUAUACAUAAAUAAGGGAAAGACUCUGUUUCAUCCAAGACACUAGUGGAUUGUCCAAUUGAUUGAGCCUUCUGUACCAACAGAGAUGGUUGUGAAUACAGUAGCAACAGGAUAAACAUUCAAACAAUCA
Molecule: long non-coding RNA, 795 nt
Organism: Heterocephalus glaber (naked mole-rat)
Lineage: Eukaryota; Metazoa; Chordata; Mammalia; Rodentia; Bathyergidae
Source: RefSeq, a predicted model, not a curated record